This 451-nucleotide ribosomal RNA is filed under the name uncultured bacterium. RNAcentral describes it as "partial 16S ribosomal RNA". It matches the Rfam family "Bacterial small subunit ribosomal RNA", at positions 354 to 796 of the family's 1533-position model. The record is from RNAcentral.
GUGGGGAAUAUUGGACAAUGGGGGCAACCCUGAUCCAGCCAUGCCGCGUGUGUGAAGAAGGCCUUUUGGUUGUAAAGCACUUUAAGCGAGGAGGAGGCUUACCUGGUUAAUACCUGGGAUAAGUGGACGUUACUCGCAGAAUAAGCACCGGCUAACUCUGUGCCAGCAGCCGCGGUAAUACAGAGGGUGCAAGCGUUAAUCGGAUUUACUGGGCGUAAAGCGCGCGUAGGUGGCUAAUUAAGUCAAAUGUGAAGUCCCCGAGCUUAACUUGGGAAUUGCAUUCGAUACUGGUUAGCUAGAGUAUGGGAGAGGAUGGUAGAAUUCCAGGUGUAGCGGUGAAAUGCGUAGAGAUCUGGAGGAAUACCGAUGGCGAAGGCAGCCAUCUGGCCUAAUACUGACACUGAGGUGCGAAAGCAUGGGGAGCAAACAGGAUUAGAUACCCUGGUAGUCC